This 21-nucleotide non-coding RNA is filed under the name Caenorhabditis elegans. Lineage: Eukaryota; Metazoa; Nematoda; Chromadorea; Rhabditida; Rhabditidae. The record is from RNAcentral.
UAGUCUCGCCAUUGCUGUAGG